CCUGUAUCUUGUAGAUAAAGCCACAGGUCUCAUAAAAAACACUCAAGAUCUGGAGUUUAACUACGAAAAAGAUGACAUUGCUCCAGCACCAAUAUUAGGCUUCUGGUCCGAAAAAAAUAAGUGGUUAUUUUUUGCUGUAUUUAAACUUUAUAUUAUUGUUUAUUGUUAAAAUGAUUGUUUAAUGUCAUUUGCAAUAAAAAUGUGUUGAAGAAUAUGUAUAAAAACAUAAUUAUGUCACACUUUGCGAGAUAUGAGAUGGUGAAAAAUGUCAUUAUACAAAACAACAUUAAUUUAUUUCGAAAUAAUUGCGCAUAUUAUAAUAAAAAAGUGAUUUUAGCUAAAUAAAUAAUGUUUUCGAUAAAUCUAAUUAUAAGCAUAAUAUUAGGCUUUCGUUCCCGGAAAGCUUAAUAAUUAUACACAUAUGUGCAAUCUUAUAUCGAUAUUCUGUAUUUGCGUAUCAAAGUUUGCCUUAGUAAAUAAUAGGUUGUUCACUGUUCACUUUCGGAAAGGACAAUGAAAAGCGCAUCCACGCACUCCAUCCAUUCUAAAAUAAUUUAUAUAAUAAUUAAAAGAUCACAAAUGAGUAAAGUUUCAAGACAAUAUUAAGGAGAAAGUUUCAAAAUAGACUAGCUAUGAGAUAAAAUAACGUUUUAUUUUGUUAUUCAUAAAUUUAUCGGUUUGCUAUAAAUAUUUUUAUGUGUGAUUUUUUAAAAUGGUUUUUAAAGGAAAAACGUGUGUGUGCGCGUGCGCACGCGUACGUGCAUGCGUGUGUGGAUGUGCACAAGAUACGAAAAUUGUUUAUAAUAAAAACUAAAAAGAGCGUGAAAACAGUGUUAUAGGAAAUAUGUUUUUUUUAAUAACGAGAUAUAAUUAUGACCAAAAUGUAAUUUGAAUACGAAUAAAUACAGAUACACCUUUUUUAUGAAUAACUGAA
Long non-coding RNA from Monomorium pharaonis (pharaoh ant), 934 nucleotides. RefSeq lists it as uncharacterized. Lineage: Eukaryota; Metazoa; Arthropoda; Insecta; Hymenoptera; Formicidae. The transcript has 2 exons. The record is from RefSeq and is a predicted model, not a curated record.